GUGUAUUAGGCGGGUAGCAUCACACCCUUUGUGACAUACCUAUCGUUGCUUCGGCGGACUCGCCCCAGCGUCCGGACGCGGACCUAGGCGGCCGCCGGGGACCCCCAAACCCUGUAUCUACCAGUUUUUCUGAAUCCGCCGCAAGGCAAAACAAAUGAAUCAAAACUUUCAACAACGGAUCUCUUGGCUCUGGCAUCGAUGAAGAACGCAGCGAAAUGCGAUAAGUAAUGUGAAUUGCAGAAUUCAGUGAAUCAUCGAAUCUUUGAACGCACAUUGCGCCCGCCAGCAUUCUGGCGGGCAUGCCUGUUCGAGCGUCAUUUCAACCCUCGACGUCCCCUAGGGGAUGUCGGCGUUGGGGACCGGCAGCACACCGCCGCCCCCGAAAUGAAGUGGCGGCCCGUCCGCGGCGACCUCUGCGUAGUACUCCAACUCGCACCGGGACCCCGACGCGGCCACGCCGUAAAACACCCAACUCUGAACGUUGACCUCGGAUCAGGUAGGAAUACCCGCUGAACUUAAGCAUAUCAAUAAGCGGAGGAA
This 540-nucleotide ribosomal RNA is filed under the name Cordyceps ningxiaensis. RNAcentral's name for it is "eukaryotic LSU rRNA". The stretch from base 164 to 317 matches the Rfam family "5.8S ribosomal RNA". Lineage: Eukaryota; Fungi; Ascomycota; Sordariomycetes; Hypocreales; Cordycipitaceae. The record is from RNAcentral.